AAGAGACUAACCAGGUAUUUCCCUAGUAAUGGCGAACGAACCGGAAAGAGCCCAGCUUGAAAAUCCCGGCGCUUCGCGCCGGGAGUUGUAGUCUGGAGACGCAUCCUCUGCAACGCACCGGACCCAAGUUCCCUGGAAAGGGACGUCAGAGAGGGUGACAACCCCGUCGAGUCUGGACCGUGUUGCUCCACGAGGUGUGGUCGUCGAGUCGGGCUGUUUGGGAAUGCAGCCCUAAGUGGGAGGUAAAUUCCUUCCAAGGCUAAAUAUUGGCAAGAGACCGAUAGCGAACAAGUACCGCGAGGGAAAGAUGAAAAGGACUUUGAAAAGAGAGUUAAAAAGUGCUUGAAAUUGCUGGGAGGGAAGCGAAUGGAAGCUGCGGGUGCGCCCCGGUUGGAUGUGGAACGGCUUCGGCUGGUCCGCCGCUCAACGCGGGGCGCUGGUCAGCGUGGGCCAUCGCGGCGGGACAAGAGCGGGAUGUAGUUUCCCGCCUAUGCCGUUGCGGUGGCCGAGGAACGAAGCGCGCGGCCUCGUGCCGUGGGACCCGUCCCAACUGCGCGCUCGGGACGCUGGCGUAUUGAGCUCUUCAUCCGACCCGUCUUGAAACACGGACCAAGGAGUCUAACAUGUAUGCGAGCCGGUGGGCGGCAAACCCAUUGAGGCGCAAGGAAACUGACAGGUGGGACCCCCGUAAAAAAGGGAGCACCAUCGACCGAC
This 714-nucleotide ribosomal RNA is filed under the name Microbryum davallianum. RNAcentral describes it as "eukaryotic LSU rRNA". It matches the Rfam family "Eukaryotic large subunit ribosomal RNA", at positions 59 to 769 of the family's 3401-position model. Lineage: Eukaryota; Viridiplantae; Streptophyta; Bryopsida; Pottiales; Pottiaceae. The record is from RNAcentral.